RNAcentral lists this long non-coding RNA (2309 nucleotides) under Sus scrofa (pig). RNAcentral's name for it is "lncRNA (ENSSSCG00005043668.1)". Lineage: Eukaryota; Metazoa; Chordata; Mammalia; Artiodactyla; Suidae. The record is from RNAcentral.
UUUUCUGCCUUUAUUACAUUUUUGUAGUAAGAUAUCCAAACAAACCAUUCUUAUACCACACAAAAGACAGCCAUUCUUGUGAUUGUAAAGUGCAUUUCCCCUUUAACUUUGUGUACAAAAAAAUAGGCAUUUUUAAAAAAUCUGUGGAAACUUCUCAACAAGGCACUUUUAGGCACAAAAAUGAAGAUGAGUCUGCAGUUCUACAUUCACAGUGAAGUAAGAGUGACCCACCACCAUCACAGCUGCCUUCUCGGAGUCCUCAUAGGGUCAGCCGACUCUAGGAAGUGAUAAACGAGACUGUAAAACAUCCACUGCUUUACAGCCUGGGCUGCAGUGCUUUACAACCAUAACAAGGAAAAGCUGCCCAUCAGCACAGCUCUUCGGGAAGUGUCCCACUUCAGGGAGUGAAGAUACACUGGCAGAUUGUCUUGGGAUGACCCUGGGAGAUCUCUUUAGAUGUGUGACUUCUUAUCCUCAACUUCAGGGAUCAUUUUUGUAGAGACAAGGACAUCAGGACUUCCCAGAGCAGAUAGCUCUGAUGCUUACUCUGAUGCUUACUCCGGCAAACUGCGCCCAGUUGAGGAAUUUGACAUGACACUGGGAUUUUCACUCACUGUCCACUGAGAGGGAAGACCUAGCAAAUGGGAUUUCUGCAAAGUGAACAGACCCUUUUUUUGGUUUACAAACAUAUAUGCCAUUUAACGUCCAAGUGACUACAAGUAAUGCUUGUUUUUAAAAAGCAAAUUAUAUGCAGAGAUCAAACCCACAAACAGUCUUUUUGCAGUUCAGACUUUACAUCUUUAAAAAACAUUGAGAGAGUAAUGUUCUGCCACUGUUAAAAUUAAAUCUUAGAGAUAAAACAAACUCUACCUUGACUCUGAAACUGUUUUCAUUUCUGGAGAACUACAUAACUUCCUUAUUUCUCACCAGCUCUCCUAUAACAAGCAUACUUAACAAACUAAACAAACCUGCCCAAAUGCUUCACAUCUUCCAAGAAACAUUGAAAGCUUAUUUUAAAAAAAUCUAUCUUUAGAUAGUCUAGCUUAUUUAUUGCACCUAAUUUGCAAAUGCUCCCCAGGACAUUUGGGGGAAUAAAUACAAAGCAAAAACAGAAGGGUCUUUGUGAACAGGUGAAGACUUGCCUGGUGGGGGAGCAGCUCAGGUGCACUGGCUGGGGGCUUGCAGCCAGGAGGGGCAGGGGAGGGUUUGUGGUGUUUCAAAAGAGAUACUUAUCACUGAAUUACCAUAUUUCAAAUUUUGACAUGGGAAUGCCUUAAGAUCACUAUUAUUGAAGUCCACUUCAGGCAUUUUUCUUACCAACAUAGAAUGAUCUUGUUACUUUGAAUCUGGUAACAAAGAAAUGCAGUGCACUUUAUACCUUUCAUAAACUGGAGAAGGGAUGGGACUUCUUAAAACAAAGUAAAUUCAUGACCUGUAUAAAAUCAGUUUUGCUUCCAAACAGUGUGAAUCUAUAUUAUAUAAUAGUUCUGAACCUGGAGAGUACUGUCUGUGUACUUGAUGUAAGACAUGCUUAGAUAAAACCCAGUUCUGCCCAAUGUCAACAUAAGAUAAAAAAUGUGAUUGGCCCCUAAGUUGUAUUAUCAUGCAAUCUUCCAGUGCCUGGAGAGGCAUACAAAAUAAAGCACUAGAUUGCAGACUCAUUACAGCCAGUUUUAGGGACAAGAACUCCAUGGAACACCACUUAAGAGCAUUUAAAAAGUCAAAACAUUUUAAGGUUCAAAAAAGAAAAAACCCAACCACAAAACUCUAGGAGCCAUGACACUCCAGACCUGUCUGACACUGAGUUAAAAAGCCCCAGAAGCUGCAGGGUGUCUCCCAACUAACCUGGAUAACGCAGGUGAAAGGACUCUUUGCUUUCAGAGUCAAGGAGGUUUGCCCCCAAAUCCAGGCAGCUGGGCACUCCUUUCCCUGCCUCCUUUACGAAAACCUUACUUUAGUAAGAUCAGGCACAAGAAAAAUGAGGCAGUCAUUUAACUUAAGCUCCAAAAACAAAACAAAAACCCCAACCUUCUAAAAAUGCACAUGUAAAAAUAUCUUUUAUACACUCCCAAGUACCAACCAAUCUUGCCCAAGAAAAAAAAUCACAGAGUUUGGGAGUCUAUUUGAUAAGGAAAGUCCCAGGAGUCUCACAACAGUAUGAACCAACAGACUUUUAAUGCUUGAGUCCAAUAUGGUUAAGAACAAUUAAUCUCUGAUAUUUCAGAGUUGGCAAAGUGAAAAUAAAAUCCGAGAACUUGGUGAGGUUUUUGACCCCUACCCCUUUACACACCCACACACCAUAAAUAAGA